RNAcentral lists this ribosomal RNA (287 nucleotides) under uncultured bacterium. Its description in RNAcentral is "partial 16S ribosomal RNA". It matches the Rfam family "Bacterial small subunit ribosomal RNA", at positions 773 to 1060 of the family's 1533-position model. The record is from RNAcentral.
GUGGAUUAGAUACCCUAGUAGUCCUAGCAGUAAACGGUGCACGCUUGGUGUGAGGGGAAUCGACCCCCCUUGUGCCGGAGCUAACGCGUUAAGCGUGCCGCCUGGGAAGUACGGUCGCAAGACUAAAACUCAAAGAAAUUGACGGGGACCCGCACAAGCGGUGGAGUAUGUGGCUUAAUUCGAUGCAACGCGAAGAACCUUACCAAGGCUUGACAUGCAUCUCUAAACACGUGAAAGCGUGUGACCCUUCGGGGAAUUUGCACAGGUGCUGCAUGGUUGCGUCAACU